Molecule: ribosomal RNA, 2796 nt
Filed under: Triticum aestivum (bread wheat)
Lineage: Eukaryota; Viridiplantae; Streptophyta; Magnoliopsida; Poales; Poaceae
Description: partial small subunit ribosomal RNA
Source: RNAcentral
AUGGAGGGUGCUCUGGUGAGUGUGGCGACGGGGACCCUGAAACCCGUCCUGGGGAAGCUGGCCUCUCUGAUGGGCGACGAGUACAAGCGUCUCAAGGGGGUGCGCGGCGAGAUCAAGUUUCUGACCGAUGAGCUUACCGCAAUGCAUGCCUUUCUCCUGAACAUGUCAGAGGAGGAGGAUCCUGAUGUGCAGGAUAAAGUUUGGAUGAAUGAGGUGCGCGAGCUGUCCUACGGCAUGGAGGACUCCAUCGAUGACUUCAUGAAACAUGUAGAUGACAACGACACAAAGCCAGGUAGCUUCACGGAGAGGAUCAAGAACUUGUUGGGGAAGAUGAAGACUCGCCAUCGGAUUGCAAACGAGAUCCAAGAUUUGAAGAAACGUAUCAUUGAGGUGGGCGAGAGGACUGCAAGGUACACAACUCGUGAUGCCUUGUCCAAAACCGUCAAUGUGACCGUUGACCCUAGAGCUCUUGCAAUCUUUGAGCAUGCCUCAAUGCUCGUCGGAAUUGAUGAACCGAAGGCAACGCUAAUCAAACUCUUGACUGAAGAGGACGGAUGUGCAUCAACACAAUAUCAACAAGUGAAGAUGGUCUCUGUCGUUGGAUCUGCAGGAAUGGGCAAGACAACUCUUGCAAACCAAGUGUAUCAAGAGCUCAAAGGCAAACUCAAGUGUCGGGCUUUCGUGUCAGUGUCACGCAAUCCAGACAUCAUGAAUAUUCUCAGAACUAUUUAUGGUGAAGUUAGCGGGAAACCUUAUACUGACACAGAAGCAGGGAGUGUACAACAACUCCUCGCCAUUAUCUCCAACUUCCUUGCAGACAAGAGCUACUUUAUUGUUGUUGACGAUAUAUGGAAGAAGGAAACAUGGGAUGUUAUUAAGUACGCAUUCCCCAUGACCAGUUGUGGCAUAAUAAUCACCACUACUCGUAUGAAAGAUGUCGCUAAUUCAUGUCAGACGUCAUUCGGUGGCCAUAUUUAUAACAUAAGGCCUCUUGAUAUUGUUUAUUCAAGACAGUUAUUUCACGGAAGAUUAUUUAACUCCGAAGAAAAUUGCCCUCCAUACCUUAAAGAAGUUUCUGAUCAAAUCUUGAAAAAAUGUGAUGGGUUACCUUUGGCGAUCAUCGCUAUAUCUGGUUUGUUGGCUAACACAGAAAGAAUAGAGGGCCUAUGGAACCAAGUGAAAGAUUCAAUUGGCCGUGCACUUGAAAGAAAUUCUAGCGUUGAAGGAAUGAUGAAGAUAUUGUCACUUAGUUAUUUUGAUCUGCCUCCUCAUCUGAAGACGUGUCUCUUAUAUGUGAGUAUAUUUCCGGAGGAUUCUUUUAUUGGGAAGAAUGAUAUCAUAAGUAGGUGGAUAGGUGAAGAAUUCAUUCACAAAGAAGGCAGAUAUACAUCACAUGAGAUAGGAGAAAGGUGUUUUAAUGAGCUCCUUAAUAGGGGUUUGAUUCAACCGGGGAAGACAAAUGAAUAUGGUGAGGUAGAGAGUUGCCAAGUUCAUGACACAAUUCUUGAUUUCAUCAUAUCCAAGUCCAUAGAAGAGAACUUCGUUACUUUACUAGGUGUUCCAAUUCUGACAAUUGGGACACAAAGCAAAGUCGUUCGUCGACUCUUUCUACAAGGAAUUAAUCAAGGAAAUUCAACAAUACAGCCAGCAGGUUUGGUGUUGUCCCAUGUACGAUCACUGGGUGUGUUUGGAGGUUUUGUGGAAAUCCCUUCUCUGGAGGAAUUCAAACAUCUGUGUGUUCUCCACUUGAGCCAUUGCCAAUCAUUGGAAGAACAUCAUCUUGAGAAUAUAGUGAGGUUGCCCCAGCUAAGGUACCUGAACCUCAAAAAUACAGAAAUAAGGAAGCUCCCAGAACAAAUCGGGCGUUUAGGUUGCCUAGAGUUGUUGGACCUAAGACACACUUGUGUAGAGGAAUUGCCUGCAUCUAUUGUUAAUCUCAAAAAAUUGACGCAUCUUCUUGUUGACUAUGGUGUUAAAUUUCCUGAUGGAAUUGAGGAGAUGCAAGCAUUGGAGACAUUGGAAGAGGUCAGGUUCUCCAACCAACCAUUUGGCUUCCUGUCCGGCCUUGGCCAACUAAAGAAUUUGAGGAAUCUGGUUCUUUUCUUUGGUUUCGAAGAGUAUUCUGACACUAAGGAUGCAAAUAUGGUUGAAGAGGAGUGCAUCAAAUCUAUCAUCUCUUCCCUGUGUAAACUAGGCACCCAGGACCUUCGCUCUCUAACUAUUUGGGAUUGGAGCAGCCUCUUACAAGAACCUUUGUGCCCGCUUACCCUCGAUAGACUUAUUAACUUCUCGUUAGGCGCCCCACAGGUUCCGAAAUGGGUGAGCUCCCUCAGAAACCUCCAAGAGAUACACCUUAUAGUGGAUGAAGUCAAGCAGGAUGAUCUCUGCAUCCUUGGGGCCUUACCCACUCUGCUCAUUCUGCAUCUGGAGGAAGAAACAAUGUCAAACAAAAAAAUCAGAGUCAGUGGUGAAGUUGGGUUCCAAUUCUUGAGGAUUUUUAUUUAUGAGGCAAAUCCUCACCCGGUAGAUCUGAUGUUUGCGGCAGGAUCCAUGCCCAAGCUAGAAAAACUCGUGCUUUCUUUCCGCAUAGCAGCUGGCUCUCUGGACUUUGGAAUCAAGAACCUCCCCUGCCUCAGUACGGUCAAAUGUAGUACAAAUGCCGACGAUGGCAUUUUUGGAGCCAUACAGACUGCCGUGGAGAGAGCAGCCAGCACACACCCCAAUCACCCUAGUUUACUCUUUCGGAGAGAUGUCAAAUGUAGUACAAACAAGGCUCCAUACUUCUCUCCUUUAUGA